UACACUCCUACGGGAGGCAGCAGUGGGGAAUAUUGCACAAUGGGCGCAAGCCUGAUGCAGCCAUGCCGCGUGUAUGAAGAAGGCCUUCGGGUUGUAAAGUACUUUCAGCGGGGAGGAAGGCGAUAAGGUUAAUAACCUUGUCGAUUGACGUUACCCGCAGAAGAAGCACCGGCUAACUCCGUGCCAGCAGCCGCGGUAAUACGGAGGGUGCAAGCGUUAAUCGGAAUUACUGGGCGUAAAGCGCACGCAGGCGGUCUGUCAAGUCGGAUGUGAAAUCCCCAGGCUCAACCUGGGAACUGCAUUCGAAACUGGCAGGCUAGAGUCUUGUAGAGGGGGGUAGAAUUCCAGGUGUAGCGGUGAAAUGCGUAGAGAUCUGGAGGAAUACCGGUGGCGAAGGCGGCCCCCUGGACAAAGACUGACGCUCAGGUGCGAAAGCGUGGGGAGCAAACAGGAUUAGAUACCCGGGUAGUCCCAUG
Molecule: ribosomal RNA, 476 nt
Filed under: uncultured organism
Description: partial 16S ribosomal RNA
Rfam family: Bacterial small subunit ribosomal RNA
Source: RNAcentral